Molecule: ribosomal RNA, 467 nt
Filed under: uncultured bacterium
Lineage: Bacteria
Description: partial 16S ribosomal RNA
Rfam family: Bacterial small subunit ribosomal RNA
Source: RNAcentral
GAUGAACGCUGGCGGCGCGCCUAACACAUGCAAGUCGAACGAUUAAAGCACCUUCGGGUGUGUAUAAAGUGGCGAACGGCUGAGUAACACGUGGGCAACCUGCCCCUUUCAUUGGGAUAGCCACGGGAAACCGUGGAUAAUACCGAAUACUUCGAGACUUCCGCAUGGAAGACUCGAGAAAGCUCCGGCGGAGAGGGAUGGGCCCGCGGCCUGUUAGCUUGUUGGUGGGGUAACGGCCUACCAAGGCAAUGAUGGGUAGCUGGGUUGAGAGACCGACCAGCCAGAUUGGAACGGAGACACGGCCCGGCCUCCUACGGGGGGCAGCAGUGGGGAAUCUGGAAAAAGGGGAGAAGGCCGGAUGCAGCGACCCCGCGUGGGGGAGGAAGGCUUUGGGUUUAUAAACGGCUUUCAGCGGGGAGGGGGGGAAGGUGACGGUACCUGAAAAAGAACCCCCGGCUACCUACGUG